This 490-nucleotide ribosomal RNA is filed under the name uncultured bacterium. Its description in RNAcentral is "partial 16S ribosomal RNA". It matches the Rfam family "Bacterial small subunit ribosomal RNA", at positions 30 to 507 of the family's 1533-position model. The record is from RNAcentral.
AUUGAACGCUGGCGGCAGGCCUAACACAUGCAAGUCGAACGGUAACAGGAAGAAGCUUGCUUCUUUGCUGACGAGUGGCGGACGGGUGAGUAAUGUCUGGGAAACUGCCUGAUGGAGGGGGAUAACUACUGGAAACGGUAGCUAAUACCGCAUAACGUCGCAAGACCAAAGAGGGGGACCUUCGGGCCUCUUGCCAUCGGAUGUGCCCAGAUGGGAUUAGCUAGUAGGUGGGGUAACGGCUCACCUAGGCGACGAUCCCUAGCUGGUCUGAGAGGAUGACCAGCCACACUGGAACUGAGACACGGUCCAGACUCCUACGGGAGGCAGCAGUGGGGACUAUUGCACAAUGGGCGCAAGCCUGAUGCAGCCAUGCCGCGUGUAUGAAGAAGGCCUUCGGGUUGUAAAGUACUUUCAGCGGGGAGGAAGGGAGUAAAGUUAAUACCUUGGCUCAUUGACGUUACCCGCAGAAGAAGCACCGGCUAACUCCGUG